AAAGAUUAAGCCAUGCAUGUCUAAGUACUUGCUAUAACAAGGCGAAACCGCGAAUGGCUCAUUAAAUCAGUUAUGGUUCACUAGAUCGUACCGUUUACACGGAUAACUGUGGUAAUUCUAGAGCUAAUACGUGCAACCAGCUCGCUUCCUCGUGGAGCGAGCGCAGUUAUUAGAACAAGACCAAUCCGGCCUCGGUCGGUAAAAUGGUGACUCUGAAUAACCGAAGCGGAGCGCAUGGUCUCGUACCGGCGCCAGAUCUUUCAAGUGUCUGACUUAUCAGCUUGUUGUUAGGUUACGUUCCUAACAAGGCUAUAACGGGUAACGGGGUAUGAGGGUCCGAUACCGGA
This 347-nucleotide ribosomal RNA is filed under the name Macrobiotus hufelandi group sp. RNAcentral describes it as "SSU rRNA". It matches the Rfam family "Eukaryotic small subunit ribosomal RNA", at positions 39 to 387 of the family's 1831-position model. The record is from RNAcentral. Lineage: Eukaryota; Metazoa; Tardigrada; Eutardigrada; Parachela; Macrobiotidae.